This 6187-nucleotide long non-coding RNA is filed under the name Olea europaea (common olive). RNAcentral describes it as "long non-coding RNA (OEUR_LNC007748)". Lineage: Eukaryota; Viridiplantae; Streptophyta; Magnoliopsida; Lamiales; Oleaceae. The record is from RNAcentral.
UUUCUUUCUUGAUGUUAGCAGAUAAUACAAUUACAUAUAGAAAGUUCGACAAAAAAAUCUUUUAUUUGGUGAUAUUAGAAUGUAAUUGAAGACCCAAUCAUUGUGUCUUAUUGGCCCAGGCAAUUACAAUCUUUUGCUGUUUGUUAGUUGAUUAAAAUAUCUGAUAUCUUCUUGUCAAGCUGCUUCAAUCUUUGCAUUAAUACAUUCACAGUCAAAGCAACGUCUGAAAGUUCAAUUAACCUUCAAAGUUCAAGAGAUUAUAUCCUGGCCAGGUCCUACUGAACUUCAACAGCCCACAUCAUGGCUAGCGAAAAACACUAGCAAGCUCUACGAAGUUCCUAUCAUGUUAAAAAUACCCAUAAACAAACACCAAUUAUAAGAAAAGAGGAAAAAUACUCAACUUACUGAUGUUAAACGGUGUAACAGAUCAAUGCCAGUAACUUCCUUUCGUCUAAAACACAAAAAAGGGGAAAAUGAAAUCUCGACAAAGAAGAGUUCAAGAAAAUGAGAGAGAGAGAGAGCGUGAAUGAAGUAUAAUGGGAAAUUCAUCCCUCCCCAACAGCCACAAAACAGUCAUAGAGAGAAGAAAGUAAUAGAAAGUGAAAAAGAGAAAAGCAGAAAGCAGAAAAAAGCUGUAUUUGGGGAGAGGUUGAUGGGUCAUUGUCUUCAUGGGAGUCAGAGAAAGAGAGCGAUAUAAAGAUCUCUACAAAAUCUGGAAAAAGAGGGAGAAAUGGGGUUUAGGGGAUUUCUCAGGUGAUCUUGUAAUUGCAAUUGGAUAUAUAUUUAUACACAGAUGAAUAAAGCCCUCUCUGAGAGAGAGAGAGGCAGAACUUAGUGUAUGUGGGGACUGGGGUCGAGGAAAAAAACAUCUGUGGUUUUCUUUGACCGUAGCCCUUAAAAUUUGCCUGUCUACCACUGGGUGUACGUACUUGUCUACAAGUAUUUAUAUAAACUACUGGAGAAGCCAGAUUAGGGUUAAAGAAUUACCUUGAAUUGUAUCUCGCAUGAUGGGGAUGGAUCAGCAACCAAAGACCCUAGGUUAAUCUGGUCGGCUGAUAAAACCAAAAACACGAGGCAUGACUCGGAUGGGCAGACCUCCAAGCCGACUUUUCUUUUUCUAUAUAUAUAUUUUUUAAUUUUUAGCUAAUUUUGUGAAAAAAUUUAAAAUAAAAAUGAAAACAAGUUCAUUUUGAUUGAUAAGUCUUAGGACUUGGAGUUGUGCCUAAACAAUAAGCAAUUAGGAAGAGUAUUUCAAUCAUUUAUACAUCCAAGAGCAUCCAUGUCAAGUUAAUGUGAGACUUUUAUUUAUGUAUCUCUCUAUAAAUUCACUCUAAAAUGAAAAAUCACAUCAUCAUUCACUCAUCAACACGAUCCCUCUUUAGUUAUGAACUUUUCUAUAUAUCCCAAUUGCAGCUAGUUAAGAAGAUCACACACUUAAUCAAAAUCUGCAUCAUAUCUAUCGUACUAUAUAUGCCCCCAUCACCUUAGAGAUUCCACCACUUCGAAAAUUCACUAUGGCGGAAUAAGUCGUUACAUGUCACGGAUUAACAAGGGCCCCAUCUUCAUUUGAACAUUUGUUAAUUAAAUCCAUCCCAUGAAAAAAAGUAUAGUUCAAUCUUGGGGUGUAAGUCGCUACAUAUCAUGACUAACUAGGGUCCCAUCUUCAUUCAAACCUUCCGAGAGAUUUAUUGGGUAUUCAAAGAAUAACUUUGAUACAAUUGUUGGGACUUUGAUUUAUUAUUAUUAUUAUUAUUAUUAUUAUUAUUAUUAUUAUUAUUAUUAUUAUUAUUAUUAUUAUUAUUAUUAUUAUUAUAGCUUAAUUUAUGAGGAGGGGUACAAUUCCUUAAUAAACUCAAGACCGUCAUUUCACGAAUAAUGUGAACUUUUGUGUGUACAUCGAUAUCUAAUACAUAACAAUAGCAUAUCGAUAAGAAUUUAGUCCUAAUUAAUUUAUUUCAUAAUGUUUUUUUUUUUUGUCAAUUUCUUUGUUACCUCACACAUAUUUGACAACAUAUUAAUUUAAAUGCCUCUUUUGUUUCUUUUUGACCAACGUAGCCUCAUAAGUAGUUACUUGUUUCAAUUGAAUUUCAAUAUUCUUCUUGAUUGCUAAUUUAAUUACUUUAUUAAUGCGUAGUAUUACUCGGUCGGUCCAAUUAUGCUUACUAUACAUGCUUAAUAUAUAUGUUUAUAUUGUCCAAUUCACCUCUUUAUUCAAAAAUAUUCUAAAUUUUGGAGCUUUUUCAAGACUUUACGGAAAGCACUUUUUAUAGCCUUUUGAGAGAAAUUUCAAGAUUUUUUUUUUUUUUCUCUCUGGUUGGCCCUGUUGAAUUGGUCCUUAAAUUUUUUAUUUUUUAUUUUUUAUUUUUUUUUGGGUUUUCUUUAUAUCAAUUCCAUUAUUCCUAAUGUUUUUGAGUUACUUGCACAUAUAAUAUCACUCUUGUUUUCUUGAUUUAAGAAUCUUGUGCCCAAAAGAGUAAGCUUCUACCUUAUAAAUUUUGACAAGUGAUAUAUUAUUUAUACAGGCUCUUAUUCAAUGGAGAGUUUAACAUGGACUUUUUCUAAUUCAUUAUAAACAAAUUUGAAGGCAUAGACGAUUUCUUAUGGAGAUGCCCGUUGUCCCAACACAAAAAGGGAAAAAAAUAUUAUUAGCGAUCUCUACAUUGAUUUUAACAAUUUCUUUCUAAUUACAAGUCAAAAGACAUUAGAUCGACUUCUAAUCGUCAUUCUAUAACGAGAUUAAUUUCUUUAAAACGAAAGUAAAAGAUGAUCUAGUGUCUAUGAAUUUUCAUGGAAAUCGUCUACUUUUGGCUUCCAAUUUAUUUUCCUACAUAUAUUUUUAUGUGUAAUAAACCCAGCUUGAAUUUAUUAUUUGACACUUUGGAUAAGAUUUCUUUUUCAUUUACAAAAAGAAACUGGUAUAACGUAGGCAGGCCAUGUGCUUGUGUCUUUGUACUAAGUAUACACAGUUGUCUGAAAACAUAUAAAACAAUCGAACCUCAAACAACCACCAGCAAUGGCCAUGAUAUAGGAUGCUUCAUGUUGGUUUGUCUGGCAAAGACUAGGACAUUAAUAGAAGUUAAAACUAUACGUCCAAAUUUGAUUCCUUAUAUUCAUAAAUGAUCUAAUGCUUUGAAGAUAAAAUUAAAAUAAAUAAUUUAUAAAAGAUUCGAGGUGUAGUGCACAAUAGAGAACAUGAUAAACAAUGUUCAUGGUUAGUGAUUCAAUGAAAAUAAUGCCGAAUUGGAUUGUAGAAGUUGAGAGGAACCUACUAUUUACUUGCUUUAGCUCUUCAUACAUCAUAGUUAUGUAGAAAAUAUUCUCAGAAAGAGAUGAAAGAAGAUCUUAUUCGGUUCAAUAAAAUAUAUGGCAGUUAAAACAGCUGCUGGAAUAAGGCUUGUUACUGGUAGUAUUUUUAGCAAUUUUAUAGCAAAUUUUGGGCAAUGCUACGUGUACAUAACCAUAUUACACUCCCCUCACAUAGAGGGGAGUCCACACAUAUAAAAUAUGUGUGAGCCCCCUCCAUGUAAGGAAGGUGUAAGGUUGUGUUUACAAUAUAGAUGCCUUCUACAUGACCCUAAAAAAUCUUAGCUAGCAAGCUCUUGGUAAAUAGGUCGACAGCCCACUAUGGACCAUAUCUCUCAUUAAGAGAUGGUAUUUUCACUCUUCAUGUUUUUUCCUCUAGAUGUAUGAGAAAUUUCUUAAGCCAGAUUGCUUCAUUGGUUGUUUUACUAGCUCCCACAUAUUCACCCUCCAUGGUCAAAUCAGAAAACAUGAGUGCUUGAUACUCCUUUAUAUCGUAGCUCCGCCAUGAAGUAUAUCAUUGAUCCCAACGUUUACUUCCUAGAGUCGACACCCAACUGAAAAUUUGAGUCUGUAUAGCCCACGAGAUUUAGCUCGUAAAGCCUAGUACUUAGGAUAUAAUUCUUCGUGUAGAUACUCGGAUAUAUACUUCACAGCUACUUAGUGUUCUGGUCUAGCUUUAGAUUGUUACCGACUGACUAUCUCAAUGGCAUAGCAAAUAUCCAGUCUAAUGCACAACAAGACAUAUAUGAGACUAUCGAUAGCCAAAGUUCAGAGUAUCAGGUUCAUGAUCCCUACCUGCUUAGGAGUUUUUAGGACAUUGCUCAUUCGAGAGGUGGAUUCCAUGUAUAAAGAGCUAGUUCUCGUUCUUGGAAUCUGUUCAUUCAUUUCACUAGUGUACAAAUUGUGACAAAUAAUAUAUCGUGACAAAAUUUGACAACAUGGGAUGGUAGACAUGUUAUAUCGUUGCUUGAACCUAAGAAAAGAGCUCCAACUUUUGUUACAACGACGCCAGUCAACCGUCACUAUUAAGCUGAAGUUUCUAGUCUAAGCCACAUUGUUCACUCCGAGAAUGCAAAUGCUCUAGCCAAACAAUGAGACUACUCUAACCAGAUUGAAGAGCUCAGGUCCAAUAUUUCAAAGAAGCUAGCGCAGGUGAAAGCCUUACGCUUACUAAAUGGUGCCUUGCCUGGGGCUCAGGUGCGACGAGUUCGACCUAGUGCAGGCAUGCCCAACAAGCCAAGGACGCGGCAGCAGCCAAGAAUUUAUCUUGCACCCAUCAGGAUUUUAAGAGAAUUUAUGACUGAAGAGGUUAGUGAAUCUCAACUAGUGAGUGAUCAUUUCAAAAUCGUUAUACCAAUAGUUUAUGUGGGUUGUGGCAAGACGGGGUGCCAUAUUAGUCGACUAAGCAACAGCAAUCCCUUGAGGCCUUCGAGACAGCCUGAAGCUAUAAUAUAUAUGCCAAGCAAACAGCAUGUAGUUGCAGAGGAUUCAUAAGAACAUUCAGUUGACAAUGUAACGUUCGAUAGGAAAACAAUCCUAGACAAGGAUAGGCGAUGUUACAUCUCCCAUACUCAUGAUAGAAAAACAAAAGUUGAACCCCUUCCCCUUGUACAGGAUUGUUUGUAUGCCAGAACAUCAAGUGGCAACACUGUGCUAUUGGAUAAGAAACAGAUUUAAACAAAUCAAUGCAAUGUUUUCACCUAGCAUUCUAUUAAACUGCUUGGCAAACCUCUUUGUACAUGUAAGCAUGAUUCAAAAAAUAGUGUCAGGUGGCAACACUGUAUUGAAUGUUGGAUAAAAAUACGGAUUUAAACAAAUCAAUGCAAUGCUGCCACCUGACAUUCUAUCAAACUGCCUGACAAACCCUAUGUACGUGUCACAUAGCAGCCUGAAGCUAUAAUAUAUAUGCCAAGCCAACCGCAUAUAGUUGCAGAGGAUUCAUAAGAACAUUCAGUUGACAAUGUAACGUUCGAUAGGAAAACAAUCCUAGACAAGGAUAGGCGAUGUUACAUCUCCCAUACUCAUGAUAGAAAAACAAAAGUUGAACCCCUUCCCCUUGUACAGGAUUGUUUGUAUGCCAGAACAUCAAGUGGCAACACUGUGCUAUUGGAUAAGAAACAGAUUUAAACAAAUCAAUGCAAUGUUUUCACCUAGCAUUCUAUUAAACUGCUUGGCAAACCUCUUUGUACAUGUAAGCAUGAUUCAAAAAAUAGUGUCAGGUGGCAACACUGUAUUGAAUGUUGGAUAAAAAUACGGAUUUAAACAAAUCAAUGCAAUGCUGCCACCUGACAUUCUAUCAAACUGCCUGACAAACCCUAUGUACGUGUCACAUAAUUCGAAAAACAAUACUAAACAAUGAUAGGCAAUAUGAAAUCUCACGUACCCAUUCCACUAUUUUACCUUGUUUCUUGCUCACUUGACGGUUGGAGUAGAUGGACAUAGUAACCAAGUUCUCUUUUUGUUUUUUCAAAAACGUCUACUUUUACCGAUCAAGAAAAUCAACGAGAAUUUUGAGUCUAUUUAGAGGUCCAUACUCGAUUUUGCUGACAUUUUGAGUUUCUUUCUUGAUGUUAGCAGAUAAUACAAUUACAUAUAGAAAGUUCGACAAAAAAAUCUUUUAUUUGGUGAUAUUAGAAUGUAAUUGAAGACCCAAUCAUUGUGUCUUAUUGGCCCAGGCAAUUACAAUCUUUUGCUGUUUGUUAGUUGAUUAAAAUAUCUGAUAUCUUCUUGUCAAGCUGCUUCAAUCUUUGCAUUAAUACAUUCACAGUCAAAGCAACGUCUGAAAGUUCAAUUAACCUUCAAAGUUCAAGAGAUUAUAUCUUGGCCAGGUCCUACUGAACUUCAACAGCCCACAUCAUGGCUAGCGAAAAACACUAGCAAGCUC